Molecule: ribosomal RNA, 1519 nt
Filed under: metagenome
Description: bacterial SSU rRNA
Rfam family: Bacterial small subunit ribosomal RNA
Source: RNAcentral
AGAGUUUGAUCCUGGCUCAGAACGAACGCUGGCGGCGUGGAUUAGGCAUGCAAGUCGGACGGGAUCCCUGGAUGUAGCAAUACAACUGGGGUGAGAGUGGCGAACGGGUGAGUACCACGUGGGCAAUCUACCUCUUAGUCUGGAAUAGCUUCGCGAAGGCGGGGGUAAUACCGGAUGUGGUCGUCUCUCGCAUGGGAGACAGUCUAAAGGCGGGGAUCCUUCGGGACCUGCCGCUAGGGGAUGAGCCCGCGGCCUAUCAGCUAGUUGGUGAGGUAACGGCUCACCAAGGCGAAGACGGGUAGCUGGUCUGAGAGGAUGGUCAGCCACACUGGGACUGAGACACUGCCCAGACUCCUACGGGAGGCUGCAGUCGAGAAUCAUUGUCAAUGCGCGAAAGCGUGAACAUGCGACGCCGCGUGGAGGAUGAAGGCCUUCGGGUUGUAAACUCCUGUCGUGAGGGAACAAGGGCUUCGGCGACAAUACCGCCGUUGUUUGAUGGUACCUCAAAAGGAAGCCACGGCUAACUCUGUGCCAGCAGCCGCGGUAAUACAGAGGUGGCGAGCGUUGUUCGGAUUUACUGGGCGUAAAGGGUGCGUAGGCGGCUCGGCGUGUCGGAUGUGAAAGCUCACCGUCCAACGGUGAAACAGCAUUCGAAACUGCCGGGCUAGAGUACAGGAGGGGAGAGCGGAAUUCUCGGUGUAGCGGUGAAAUGCGUAGAUAUCGAGAAGAACGCCGGUGGCGAAGGCGGCUCUCUAGACUGAUACUGACGCUGAGGCACGAAAGCUGGGGGAGCAAACAGGAUUAGAUACCCUGGUAGUCCCAGCCCUAAACGUUGUGCACUUGGUGUGGGCGGGUUUGUCCCCGUCCGUGCCGUAGCUAACGCGUUAAGUGCACCGCCUGGGGAGUACGGCCGCAAGGCUAAAACUCAAAGGAAUUGACGGGGGUCCGCACAAGCGGUGGAGCAUGUGGCUUAAUUCGAUGCAACGCGAAGAACUUUACCUGGGCUUGACAUGUGGCUGCAGGCCCCCUGAAAGGGGGGCGGCCUUCGAGGGUGCCACACAGGUGCUGCAUGGCUGUCGUCAGCUCGUGCCGUGAGGUGUUGGGUUAAGUCCCGCAACGAGCGCAACCCCUGUGAUUAGUUGCCCCUUCCGCCGAAAGGCGGGAAGCACUCUAAUCAUACUGCCUGUGACAAGCAGGAGGAAGGUGGGGAUGACGUCAAGUCAGUAUGGUCCUUAUGUCCAGGGCUGCACACGUGCUACAAUGGAUGGUACAGUGCGACGCAAGACCGCGAGGUGGAGCAAAUCGUAAAAACCAUCCUAAGUUCAGAUUGAAGUCUGCAACUCGACUUCAUGAAGUUGGAAUCGCUAGUAAAGGCGUAUCAGCUACGACGCCUUGAAUACGUUCCCGGGCCUUGUACACACCGCCCGUCACAUCAUGGAAGCUGACUGCACCCGAAGUCGCCGAGCCGACCCGCAAGGGGGGCAGGUGCCGAAGGUGUGGUUGGUGACUGGGAUGAAGG